UAAGCGGAGGAAAAGAAACUAACAAGGAUUCCCCUAGUAACUGCGAGUGAAGCGGGAAAAGCUCAAAUUUAAAAUCUGGCGGCCUUUGGCCGCCCGAGUUGUAAUUUAGAGAAGCGUCUUCCGCGCCAGUCCGUGCACAAGUCUCCUGGAAUGGAGCGUCAUAGAGGGUGAGAAUCCCGUCUUUGGCAUGGAUACCCGGUGCUUCUGUGAUGCGCUCUCGAAGAGUCGAGUUGUUUGGGAAUGCAGCUCAAAAUGGGUGGUGAACUCCAUCUAAAGCUAAAUAUUGGCGAGAGACCGAUAGCGAACAAGUACCGUGAGGGAAAGAUGAAAAGCACUUUGGAAAGAGAGUGAAACAGUACGUGAAAUUGUUGAAAGGGAAACGCUUGAAGUCAGUCGCGUCGACCGAGACUCAGCCUUGCCUUGGCUUGGUGUACUUCUCGGCCCGACGGGUCAGCGUCAAUUUUGCCCCUCGGAUAAUGGCAAGGGAAAGGUGGCACCUUUACGGGUGUGUUAUAGUCUCCUGUCGCAUGCGAGGGGUGGGAUUGAGGAACUCAGCGCGCACCUUUGGUGUCGGGGCUUCUGCCCACGUCACGCGCUUAGGAUGCUGGCGUAAUGGCUUUAAACGACC
RNAcentral lists this ribosomal RNA (628 nucleotides) under uncultured Russulaceae. RNAcentral describes it as "LSU rRNA". It matches the Rfam family "Eukaryotic large subunit ribosomal RNA", at positions 47 to 649 of the family's 3401-position model. The record is from RNAcentral. Lineage: Eukaryota; Fungi; Basidiomycota; Agaricomycetes; Russulales; Russulaceae.